Molecule: ribosomal RNA, 492 nt
Filed under: uncultured bacterium
Lineage: Bacteria
Description: partial 16S ribosomal RNA
Rfam family: Bacterial small subunit ribosomal RNA
Source: RNAcentral
AGUGAACGCUGGCGGUAGGCCUAACACAUGCAAGUCGAACGGCAGCACAGUAAGAGCUUGCUCUUACGGGUGGCGAGUGGCGGACGGGUGAGGAAUACAUCGGAAUCUACUUUUUCGUGGGGGAUAACGUAGGGAAACUUACGCUAAUACCGCAUACCACCUACGGGUGAAAGCAGGGGAUCUUCUGACCUUGCGCGGUUGAAUGAGCCGAUGUCGGAUUAGCUAGUUGGCGGGGUAAAGGCCCACCAAGGCGACGAUCCGUAGCUGGUCUGAGAGGAUGAUCAGCCACACUGGAACUGAGACACGGUCCAGACUCCUACGGGAGGCAGCAGUGGGGAAUAUUGGACAAUGGGCGCAAGCCUGAUCCAGCCAUACCGCGUGGGUGAAGAAGGCCUUCGGGUUGUAAAGCCCUUUUGUUGGGAAAGAAAAGCAGCAGGUUAAUACCCCGCUGUUCUGACGGUACCCAAAGAAUAAGCACCGGCUAACUUCGUG